UAGGGAAUCUUCCGCAAUGGGCGAAAGCCUGACGGAGCAACGCCGCGUGAGUGAUGAAGGUCUUCGGAUCGUAAAACUCUGUUAUUAGGGAGGAACAAAUGUGUAAGUAACUAUGCACGUCUUGACGGUACCUAAUCAGAAAGCCACGGCUAACUACGUGCCAGCAGCCGCGGUAAUACGUAGGUGGCAAGCGUUAUCCGGAAUUAUUGGGCGUAAAGCGCGCGUAGGCGGUUUUUUAAGUCUGAUGUGAAAGCCCACGGCUCAACCGUGGAGGGUCAUUGGAAACUGGAAAACUUGAGUGCAGAAGAGGAAAGUGGAAUUCCAUGUGUAGCGGUGAAAUGCGCAGAGAUAUGGAGGAAAACCAGUGGCGAAGGCGACUAUCUGGACUGUAACUGACGCUGAUGUGCGAAAGCGUGGGGAUCAAACAGG
RNAcentral lists this ribosomal RNA (429 nucleotides) under Actinomycetes bacterium. Its description in RNAcentral is "Actinobacteria bacterium partial 16S ribosomal RNA". It matches the Rfam family "Bacterial small subunit ribosomal RNA", at positions 355 to 776 of the family's 1533-position model. Lineage: Bacteria; Bacillati; Actinomycetota; Actinomycetes. The record is from RNAcentral.